Molecule: ribosomal RNA, 405 nt
Filed under: uncultured soil bacterium
Lineage: Bacteria
Description: bacterial SSU rRNA
Rfam family: Bacterial small subunit ribosomal RNA
Source: RNAcentral
AGAACGAACGCUGGCGGCAUGCCUAAUACAUGCAAGUCGAACGAACUCUUCGGAGUUAGUGGCGCACGGGUGCGUAACGCGUGGGAAUCUGCCCCUUGGUUCGGAAUAACAGUUGGAAACGACUGCUAAUACCGGAUGAUGACGAAAGUCCAAAGAUUUAUCGCAGGGGAUGAGCCCGCGUAGGAUUAGCUAGUUGGUGAGGUAAGGCUCACCAAGGCAACGAUCCUUAGCUGGUCUGAGAGGAUGAUCAGCCACACUGGGACUGAGACACGGCCAGACCUCCGUACGGGAGGCAGCAGUAGGGAAUAGUGACGAAUGGGACGAAAGCCUGAUCAGCAAUCGCCGCGUGAGUGAUAGAAGGACGUUAGGGUUAGUAAACGCCUUACGUUUACCGAGUAUGUAUAA